RNAcentral lists this ribosomal RNA (924 nucleotides) under uncultured Bacteroidota bacterium. Its description in RNAcentral is "bacterial SSU rRNA". It matches the Rfam family "Bacterial small subunit ribosomal RNA", at positions 1 to 917 of the family's 1533-position model. The record is from RNAcentral. Lineage: Bacteria; Pseudomonadati; Bacteroidota.
UGGAUCCAGACUUUGAUCCUGGCUCAGGAUGAACGCUAGCUACAGGCUUAACACAUGCAAGUCGAGGGGCAGCAUGAACUUAGCUUGCUAAGUUUGAUGGCGACCGGCGCACGGGUGAGUAACACGUAUCCAACCUUCCGUUUACUCAGGAAUAGCCUUUCGAAAGAAAGAUUAGUACCUGAUAGUAUGGUGAGAUUGCAUGAUAACACCAUUAAAGAUUUAUUGGUAAACCAUGGGGAUGCGUUCCAUUAGGUAGUAGGCGGGGUAACGGCCCACCUAGCCUGCGAUGGAUAGGGGUUCUGAGAGGAAGAUCCCCCACAUUGGAACUGAGACACGGUCCAAACUCCUACGGGAGGCAGCAGUGAGGAAUAUUGGUCAAUGGGCGAGAGCCUGAACCAGCCAAGUAGCGUGAAGGAUGAAGGUCCUACGGAUUGUAAACUUCUUUUAUACGGGAAUAAAGUAUCCUACGUGUAGGAUUUUGUGUGUACCGUAUGAAUAAGCAUCGGCUAACUCCGUGCCAGCAGCCGCGGUAAUACGGAGGAUGCGAGCGUUAUCCGGAUUUAUUGGGUUUAAAGGGAGCGCAGACGGGAGAUUAAGUCAGUUGUGAAAGUUUGCGGCUCAACCGUAAAAUUGCAGUUGAUACUGGCUUCCUUGAGUGCAGUUGAGGCAGGCGGAAUUCGUGGUGUAGCGGUGAAAUGCUUAGAUAUCACGAAGAACCCCGAUUGCGAAGGCAGCUUGCUAAACUGUAACUGACGUUCAUGCUCGAAAGUGUGGGUAUCAAACAGGAUUAGAUACCCUGGUAGUCCACACGGUAAACGAUGGAUACUCGCUGUUGGCGAUAUGCUGUCAGCGGCCAAGCGAAAGCAUUAAGUAUCCCACCUGGGGAGUACGCCGGCAACGGUGCAACUCAAAUGAAUUGACGGA